GAUGAAGAACGUAGCGAAAUGCGAUAAGUAAUGUGAAUUGCAGAAUUCCGUGAGUCAUCGAAUCUUUGAACGCACAUUGCGCCCCCUGGAAUUCCGGGGGGCAUGCCUGUCCGAGCGUCAUUGCAACCUUCAAGCGCGGCUUGUGUGUUGGGUCUCGUCCCCCGUGGACGGGCCCGAAAGGCAGUGGCGGCGUCCCGACAUGGUGCCCGAGCGUAUGGGAAUCCUCUUCCGCUCGAAUCGGCCCAUGCGGCGCUGGUCGUAACCAAAUUUUUUACCGGUUGACCUCGGAUCAGGUAGGGAUACCCGCUGAACUUAAGCAUAUCAAUAAGCGGAGGA
RNAcentral lists this unclassified non-coding RNA (336 nucleotides) under soil metagenome. Its description in RNAcentral is "partial contains 5.8S ribosomal RNA, internal transcribed spacer 2, and large subunit ribosomal RNA". The stretch from base 1 to 120 matches the Rfam family "5.8S ribosomal RNA", at positions 35 to 154 of the family's 154-position model. The record is from RNAcentral.